This is a long non-coding RNA of Zingiber officinale, 209 nucleotides long. RefSeq lists it as uncharacterized. The transcript has 3 exons. Lineage: Eukaryota; Viridiplantae; Streptophyta; Magnoliopsida; Zingiberales; Zingiberaceae. The record is from RefSeq and is a predicted model, not a curated record.
AGACACCCUCUCCUCUUCGGUAUCAAGAGGAAGAGUUUUGUGUUCACCAAAACAGUACUUGGAUCUCGUUCAUUCUGGAGAAAUUUCAGAUUAGGGUUUAUCUGUUUGGGAGAUUGGCAAUUUAUCCUUGCUCCGACUGUUGAUUUACAGAAGCAACGUUUCCAAUCAGAUUUGGACAAGUUGUAGAGGACUCUGAUUCGAGACCGUAU